Molecule: ribosomal RNA, 510 nt
Filed under: uncultured bacterium
Lineage: Bacteria
Description: partial 16S ribosomal RNA
Rfam family: Bacterial small subunit ribosomal RNA
Source: RNAcentral
AGUGAACGCUGGCGGCGUGCUUAACACAUGCAAGUCGAGCGAAUUUUGGCAGAGUAUCGCCAGAGUUAGCGGCAGACGGGUGAGUAAUACUUGGGCAAUCUGCCCUUCAGUGGAGGACAACCUGCCGAAAGGUGGGCUAAUACUCCAUAAGACCACAGGGAUGCAUAUUCCAGGGGUCAAAGCUCCGCAAGGGGCGCUAAAGGAGGAACCCGAGUCCUAUCAUGGUAGUUGGUGAGGUAACGGCUCACCAAGCCUUUGACGGGUAGCCGGCCUGAAAGGAUGAUCAGUCACACUGGAACUGAGAAACGGUCCAGACUCCUACGGGAGGCAGCAGUGGGGAAUAUUGGACAAUGGGCGAAAGCCUGAUUCAGCCAUGCCGCGUGUGUGAAGAAGGUCUUCGGAUUGUAAAGCACUUUAAGUCGGGAGGAAGGGCUGCAGGUUAAUACCUUGCAGCCUUGACGUUACCGACAGAAUAAGCACCGGCUAACUUCGUGCCAGCCGCCGCCGUAA